GGGCCCGCACAAGCGGUGGAGCAUGUGGUUUAAUUCGAUGAUACGCGAGGAACCUUACCAGGGCUUAAAUGCAGAGCGACAGAGGUGGAAACACCUCCUUCUUCGGACGGUCUGCAAGGUGCUGCAUGGUUGUCGUCAGCUCGUGCUGUGAAGUGUCGGGUUAAGUCCCAUAACGAGCGCAACCCCUAUUUCUAGUUGCCAGCGGUUCGGCCGGGGACUCUAGAGAAACUGCCAGCGUAAGCUGUGAGGAAGGUGGGGAUGACGUCAAAUCAUCACGGCCCUUACGUCCUGGGCCACACACGUGCUACAAUGGUAAGGACAGAGAGUUGCCAACCCGCGAGGGUGAGCU
RNAcentral lists this ribosomal RNA (349 nucleotides) under uncultured bacterium. RNAcentral describes it as "bacterial SSU rRNA". It matches the Rfam family "Bacterial small subunit ribosomal RNA", at positions 917 to 1269 of the family's 1533-position model. The record is from RNAcentral.